Sycon ciliatum is the source of this 765-nucleotide long non-coding RNA. RefSeq lists it as uncharacterized. The record is from RefSeq and is a predicted model, not a curated record. The transcript is spliced from 2 exons. Lineage: Eukaryota; Metazoa; Porifera; Calcarea; Leucosolenida; Sycettidae.
CGACCGUCGUACUAGUACGACGCUGUAGAGCGAAGCUGCCUAUCGUGAUCGUGGGGUCCGUAUCGAGUCCCAGUGGCUCUGUCGUGGACCGCUGGCUGUUCGCGGGCUGCUGGGGGCUGCCUGGAACCGGCACGUGAUUCGAGGCGGGAAAAAUCGAACGAAAGGAGACGCACGGGGAAUAGUUUCAGGCGAGAACAUUUUGGUUGAAAAUGCUGCGCCGCGCGAGAGGAAGAACUGUGGACGAAGCGCUCCACGAGCUGUUUCUGAGUUCAGACAGCGAUGUGGAGCCGUCAGUGAGUAGCGACAGCGACGAGGAGGGUCUAUGGACGCCAGCAAGGGCCAGAGUUCAGAACGAAACUGCGCCUGAUGUGAGUGGCGGAGCAAGCGCCAGUGUCGAUGAGUACGUCGCGGAGCACGCGGACAUCGAUGUUGCGAAUGAAGCGCAGCCGGCGGACGUCCGUGACAGCAGUAGCAGCAGUAGUACUAGUGGCACGGAGAGCGACGAUGAUGAACAGGCGUCCGAGAGGUCGCAUGUCCACAUCCAGGAGCAGCUUGCCGCAGGAGACGAUGGGAGCGAAGGGCAAUGGAAGAUGGAAGAAAACCAGCCCUUGCAAGACUCGUUCACUGCCCAGCCCGGUAUCAAGGUGCCAGUGCCAGAAAAUGCUGAGCCAUAUCAUUAUUUUUGCCUGUUUUUUACUUUACAAUUUUGGCAAUUGCUCUGCACUGAGACCAAUCGAUUUGCCCAGCAAUAUCUAAAUGCACACC